RNAcentral lists this ribosomal RNA (464 nucleotides) under uncultured bacterium. RNAcentral's name for it is "partial 16S ribosomal RNA". It matches the Rfam family "Bacterial small subunit ribosomal RNA", at positions 29 to 523 of the family's 1533-position model. The record is from RNAcentral.
AACGAACGCUGGCGGCAGGCUUAACACAUGCAAGUCGAACGAGAUCUUCGGAUCUAGUGGCAGACGGGUGAGUAACACGUAGGAAAUCUGCCCUUUGGAGGGGGACAACAGUUGGAAACGACUGCUAAUACCCCAUAUGAGCUAAGUUGUAAUACUUAUCUUGAAAACUCCGGUGCCAAAGGAUGAGCCUGCGCCUGAUUAGCUUGUUGGUGGUGUAAUGGACUACCAAGGCGACGAUCAGUAGCUGGUUUGAGAGGAUGAUCAGCCACAAUGGGACUGAGACACGGCCCAUACUCCUACGGGAGGCAGCAGUAGGGAAUUUUGCGCAAUGGGGGAAACCCUGACGCAGCAACGCCGCGUGAAUGAUGAAGCCCUUCGGGGUGUAAAGUUCUGUCAGUGGGGACGAAUUUUGACGGUACCCACAAAGGAAGCACCGGCUAACUCCGUGCCAGCCGCCGCAGUAA